GGCCUAUAAGACCAAAAUGAUCACUCGUACACUAAACAUAGGCCGACAAGACCAUACAAUCUUUUACAUACAUGGCAUAUGUCUACAAGCCUCUAAGAGUAGAUAAAUAUCAUAAAGGUCGGGACAGGGCCCCACCAUACUAAACAAUACACGUCUGAAUCAUACUGACCAAAUAAGAAACUCCGGAGCAAAUGGAGCGCACCAACAUCUUCCGCUGAGCUGAUAGCCUACUUGGAGAAAUCUCAACCUGUCUAUCGGGACCUGCGGGCAUGAAACGCAGCAUCCCCGGGCAAAAGAAACGUCAGUACAAAUAAAGUACCGAGUAUGUAAGACAUGAAAAAAACAUGGAGUAAGGAACUCAACCUGUAAGUCUGAAUAGCUCUGUGAAUCAUGAAAAUAUUUAUAAUAUCAUGCAUGUGCGUAUAAAUGCCAUACCAUGCAUACGUAUAUGCGUACAUAAUAUCAUCGAGCCUCUGAGGGCAUCCCAUCAUAUCAUCUCAGCCACUAUGGCAAAAUCAUCAACGUAUACCAGCUGAUUAGGUGGUGGUGCGUAUAUAAGGCCGUAACCUUUUUCUAUAUCCCAUAUACAUAUAAUAUACGCGUAUAUAAUGCCAUCUGGUCAUGGGUCAAUGUACAUGUAUAAAUGAAUGAAAUACAUAAGAAAUACGUUAAUAAGAUCAAUAUACCUUUCGGAUAAACUUUAUCAACUACGUAUUUUUCUGAGACCCAUGAACAGAAGAUAUAAUAAUAAUUUACAUGGGGAAUCAAGAACGUAUGCAUCUCUAAUGCUUCUAUGAAUAGAGUCAUUUUAUGAAAGUUGUGCAUUUGCUCGUUUUGUUUGUAUCGUACGGAUCAUGCCAAAAGAAAAUGAGGGAUAGCCUUAACAUACCUUAUCACAAUAUUUCCAUUGAGUCCUUAGUACCUUCCAAGCAAUUCUUAAAAUAAAUCAACUCAAUUUACCAUAGCAGAAUUAGAUUUAAAAUCAGUGUUGAGUAAAAGCUAAGUCUGCAACUUAAACUAGUAGCUCAUUUACGUAAAUUUGGGCAGCAUUUCCCCUGUAACUAGGCCCUCAUCCAAUACCAUAUACCAACAACAACAACAAGAACACAACAAUAAAAAUAUGUAAGCAUUAUUUUCCAACCUUAUAUACACCACAAAAUACUAGAAAACAACCCACACACUCUAAUCACUUCAUACAUAAAACGACAACCAAAGUAGUGUCAAACAGCCUAAAACAAUAUAACGAAGAAUGACCAGCCCACCAUUCCGUGAUUAUGUAGUGUUUCUAUACACCAGUUUUCCUUCAAAACUCCAUUAAAUAGUAGCAAAAUAGACAGCCCAAAGGCAACAUGAAACAACCCAUAAAACAGUCCACUACAAGUCAAAUAACUCGAACUCACGGCUUUCGAUCACCGUCCCGUGAGUUCUAACUAUUAGGAAACAAAUUUAUCAACCUUCCUUGAUAUUUAAGCACUUAAAUACAGAAAUUACAUAUUUUUUAACUAUGAAGUACCUUCCAAAAUUCAAAAUACAAAAAAAAUAAAAGGCGAUAUAGCGAUACUUACGUCGUAGGGAUCGUUUUAAUGUUAUCGUUUCUUGAUUCUGUGCCCGGGAUGAUAAUCUUGUUUGAAACUCUUGCAGAGAGCUUAAGAGUAAAGUUAGGGGUCUUAUUUGAUUGUG
Molecule: long non-coding RNA, 1680 nt
Filed under: Nicotiana tabacum (common tobacco)
Lineage: Eukaryota; Viridiplantae; Streptophyta; Magnoliopsida; Solanales; Solanaceae
Description: long non-coding RNA (NTAB_LNC012735)
Source: RNAcentral